This 483-nucleotide ribosomal RNA is filed under the name uncultured bacterium. RNAcentral describes it as "partial 16S ribosomal RNA". It matches the Rfam family "Bacterial small subunit ribosomal RNA", at positions 28 to 523 of the family's 1533-position model. The record is from RNAcentral.
GAUGAACGCUGGCGGCGUGCUUAACACAUGCAAGUCGAACGGUGAAGCCCAGCUUGCUGGGUGGAUCAGUGGCGAACGGGUGAGUAACACGUGAGCAACCUGCCCCUGACUCUGGGAUAAGCGCUGGAAACGGCGUCUAUUACUGGAUAUGAGACACCUCCGCAUGGGGUGUGUUCGGAAAGAUUUUUCGGUUGGGGAUGGGCUCGCGGCCUAUCAGCUUGUUGGUGAGGUAAUGGCUCACCAAGGCGUCGACGGGUAGCCGGCCUGAGAGGGUGACCGGCCACACUGGGACUGAGGCACGGCCCAGAGUGCUACGGGAGGCAGCAGUGGGGAAUAUUGCACAAUGGGCGGAAGCCUGAUGCAGCAACCCCGCGUGAGGGAUGACGGCCUUCGGGUUGUAAACCUCUUUUAGCAAGGAAGAAGCGUGAGUGACGGUACUUGCAGAAAAAGCGCCGGCUAACUACGUGCCAGCAGCCGCAGUAA